Molecule: long non-coding RNA, 226 nt
Filed under: Anas zonorhyncha (Eastern spot-billed duck)
Lineage: Eukaryota; Metazoa; Chordata; Aves; Anseriformes; Anatidae
Description: lncRNA (ENSAZOG00000018490.1)
Source: RNAcentral
AACAACAAGUCUACCCCCCGAAGUGCAUGAAAUGCUAUAAAGGACUGGGACAUUAGCAGACUCGGGCACCCUGUAAAAUAGAGAAAGAAAGCAGGACAAUUGCUCUGAGUCAUGACUGAUGCAAUCUGGAUACUGCAAGGCUCUCUUCUGCUCCUCUGAAGCUCCAAAACUUUGUGCUUAGAGGCUGCAAUUGCUUGAAAAGAGGAAUGUGAAAUCACCAUCUACA